AGCGACUAAGCGUACACGGUGGAUGCCCUGGCAGUCAGAGGCGAUGAAGGGCGUGCUAAUCUGCGAUAAGCGCCGGUAAGGUGAUAUGAACCGUUAUAACCGGCGAUACCCGAAUGGGGAAACCCAGUGUGACUCGUCACACUAUCAUUAACUGAAUCCAUAGGUUAAUGAGGCGAACCGGGGGAACUGAAACAUCUAAGUACCCCGAGGAAAAGAAAUCAACCGAGAUUCCCCCAGUAGCGGCGAGCGAACGGGGAGGAGCCCAGAGCCUGAAUCAGCAUGUGUGUUAGUGGAAGCGUCUGGAAAGGCGCGCGAUACAGGGUGACAGCCCCGUACACAAAAGCGCAUGUGCUGUGAGCUCGAUGAGUAGGGCGGGACACGUGGUAUCCUGUCUGAAUAUGGGGGGACCAUCCUCCAAGGCUAAAUACUCCUGACUGACCGAUAGUGAACCAGUACCGUGAGGGAAAGGCGAAAAGAACCCCGGCGAGGGGAGUGAAAAAGAACCUGAAACCGUGUACGUACAAGCAGUGGGAGCACCCUUUGGGUGUGACUGCGUACCUUUUGUAUAAUGGGUCAGCGACUUAUAUUCUGUAGCAAGGUUAACCGAAUAGGGGAGCCGGAGGGAAACCGAGUCUUAAUUGGGCGUUAAGUUGCAGGGUAUAGACCCGAAACCCGGUGAUCUAGCCAUGGGCAGGUUGAAGGUUGGGUAACACUAACUGGAGGACCGAACCGACUAAUGUUGAAAAAUUAGCGGAUGACCUGUGGCUGGGGGUGAAAGGCCAAUCAAACCGGGAGAUAGCUGGUUCUCCCCGAAAGCUAUUUAGGUAGCGCCUCGUGAAUUCAUCUCCGGGGGUAGAGCACUGUUUCGGCUAGGGGGCCAUCCCGGCUUACCAACCCGAUGCAAACUGCGAAUACCGGAGAAUGUUAUCACGGGAGACACACGGCGGGUGCUAACGUCCGUCGUGAAGAGGGAAACAACCCAGACCGCCAGCUAAGGUCCCAAAGUCAUGGUUAAGUGGGAAACGAUGUGGGAAGGCCCAGACAGCCAGGAUGUUGGCUUAGAAGCAGCCAUCAUUUAAAGAAAGCGUAAUAGCUCACUGGUCGAGUCGGCCUGCGCGGAAGAUGUAACGGGGCUAAACCAUG
RNAcentral lists this ribosomal RNA (1143 nucleotides) under Salmonella enterica subsp. enterica serovar Enteritidis. RNAcentral's name for it is "partial 23S ribosomal RNA". It matches the Rfam family "Bacterial large subunit ribosomal RNA", at positions 1 to 1191 of the family's 2925-position model. Lineage: Bacteria; Pseudomonadati; Pseudomonadota; Gammaproteobacteria; Enterobacterales; Enterobacteriaceae. The record is from RNAcentral.